This 3550-nucleotide long non-coding RNA is filed under the name Sus scrofa (pig). RNAcentral describes it as "lncRNA (ENSSSCG00000052018.1)". The record is from RNAcentral. Lineage: Eukaryota; Metazoa; Chordata; Mammalia; Artiodactyla; Suidae.
CCCGACUAUCUGGGGUGCAGGUAACAUAAAGCCCUGUUGUUGGCAGAUGUGGACUCUGACUCUACACUGCUCCUGGGUGAUGCGAGAGCACUCCCGGUCCCUCACCCAGCACCUCCUGAGCAGCCUUUCCCGCUCCAGGACCACUCUGCCAGCUCAGUCCCUCUUACGUCAGGACCGCAUCCCUUUAUCCCCUCUCAGACAGAUUUCUGCUUUGGCUUAGUUCAUUCAUUUUGACUUAACAUUCUUGAAGUCUAUGUGCUCUUCCUAUGUGUUUAUCUCUAUGUACCAAUCAUACCACACUGUGAUAUCUAUAUUCUACCUUGAGCUACUUGAGAACAGGGGCUGUGCCUUGUUCAUAACUCCUAGUGCCUGGCUCAUAGUAGUCAUUUGAUAUAUUUUAUUGAGUAAAGGAAUAGAUGCAUAUCUCUGAUUAAAUAAUUUGAAGGGUUAUCUUUGUUUUUACAAAGAGGUCAUAAGAUGAUUUCUCAAGGGUAUUUCGGGUCAGAUUUUUCCUGUAUCCAGGGGCCAUGCAACAAGAGAAGUCCUACUCAUAGCAGUUCCCAGUGAUCCCCUAUGAAGAAUUACCCAGAUGACCCCAUCUUCCAGGCUCUCCACCUCUCAGGUCCCAAGGUGAUCUUCUUUGUCUAAAGCCCGGCAUGGUGCUUGAUAUAAUGUAUGAAAAAGUCUUCCUCAAGGUCUACAAUGGGGACAAAGCAAAAGAUUUGGGUAGUGGUCUGUGUCUUCUCUAAUUUCUCUCAAAACUUUGGAUCAGACAUGGGGCAACAAAUCUACCAAAAAAGGAGUUUCUAGAUGAACCUACAGAACUUCAGAGAGGGAGAAUGGCCUUUGAAGAAAGCUAAAGAAGAGCUUUGGAAAAGCAGGAAAGUGAUGAGAAUCCUGGGGGAUUGGAGUUUGAUUCACUUUGUUCCUGUAUCAUCUGAGGAUGUGGUGAAGAAUUGAUGUUAGGGAAGAAGGAAGUGCUUGGUCCCCAGUUUUCUUUGUCACUUUGAAGGAACCACAGGUCCAGGGUUCAGGAGGUGGAAUGGAGAGAUCAGAACAUUUGCCAGCAUCACUGGUGAAUAUGAUGCAAUAAAAAUGGUUUGGAAAAAUAAGUCCUGUCAGUCUUCUCUCAUCAUGUUUGAGGAUUUAUCCUUGUUCCCUCCUCCAUUUCCUUCUUUGAGGAAAAUUUGUCAAAGAGACCCCAGAUUGAGUUGAUGGGAUUGAGACUCAUUAUAUAAAAAAGGAAGGAGGGAAAUUGGGGCCCCAUUUCUCUCUUCGUUAUUAUGCCUUUUAGGAGUGUUGCUUAUUGAGGAGGUCUUCCAUCUAUGCCUGCAGGAAAUUAUAGGGGUUUGUUCCUUUAUCUUCCUGCUGUGCUAUCUUUCCCAUCUCUCUUCCCCUCCUCCUUCCAAAAAUGGUUUGGUCAGGAGAAAUUGUAAUACUGCUCCACUUGCCUUAGCAUGCAACAGAAUUUCCAAGGCUCUAAGAAAACUCUAACCUAGUCAACUUUUAUAAACAGCAGAAAUGAUGCAUGAAAUACCAUUGGGCGCUGCCAAAUGAUUUGAAUUAGAUAACUCUGAGUUUAAACUUCCCAAGAAGGAGCCCUUCAUUGGCAAAGACAUCUGCUUCUCCCUACACAUUUUGAGAAAGGGUCAGAAUGUGGGAAUGAGAGGUCCUAUAUGAAAGAGGAAGGCAUUCAGCUGCCAGUAAAAGAAAAAUUUGACUAACGGUUUAAAUAAAUAGAGAUUCCUUUCCUCCCAGAAACAGGUGCCAGUUCAGAGGUUUGAUGGUGGCAGGGCUAAGGCUGCAGGGUUCUCUUGGCCCUCCUUUCAUGGUUGUCACAUGGCUACUCAAGCCAUCAUGUCUUCAAGAAAGAAAGAAAGAAGGUAGGAGGAACAGAAAGGUGGUGCUUUUUUAUUUGAGAAAAACAGUAACCUUCUAGAAGUCCCUAGCAGACGCCAUUGGCCAGAAUGAUGUCACAUGGCCAAUCCCACAUUCAAGGGAAGAUGGAAAAAAGAGAUUUUAGCCUUCCAAAUUUUGUAGGACAGCCAGCCAGGAGAACAAGUGUGGGAAUGUGUAUUGGCUCUACCAACCUCUAAUUUUCCAUGGGGGCCCACAGCCUCGUGUGUGAGACAUUCUCUGUCUUCUGUUUGUGGCUCACUGUUCUCCUUGCCAGUUUGUUUUAGUUAGCACAAGUCAGUCGACUCAGUUUUUAGACCCUGUAAAUUUUAUCUACUGGAUUUAACAAACAUUUCUUAAAAUGAGAAAAGCACACAGUUGUCUAGGGGACGGGGAUGUGCAAAGAAGGCUGGGCAAGCACAUGGAGAAAAAGCUUUGGAGGAGGCUGUCCUCCAAAUGGUUCAACACUGAACCAUGUCUGCCUACAAUACCCUACUGUCACUCUCUAAACUGGUGAAAGCCAGACCUGAUGUGAAACACCUAGGGACCUAUCAGAGGGAAAAUUGGGCUCCUAGAAAUCAGCUGAACUCAGAUGACUCAGAGGCAAACUGUUUGCUCCUUCAGUACAUCGUUGGAGAGCCAUUAGCACAUGGUGGAAAAAGGGCUACACCAGAGCCCUGGAGCAUGCUGAGGGCUGUGGGAAGGACCAGAUAAUGUUUCAUGAGAGUGUUGAGAAGCUGGCUUUCCAUCAGAAAGGCUUUUCAGGACUGUGGAGAGGGGGCUGAACGAGCUAGUCAUUUUCUCAAACAGGGAGGCAUGAUGCUUUCUCUGGUGCUCUCUCUGCACCUGUGCAUCCAUAACUCUGCAACUCAGUGCUUUCCUCAGCAUCAGAGGCUCCUGCACCCUGAUGGUCAGAAUCAUCCAUCACCAUAGCAACCUCAAGAAUGGCUCCAAAUGAGAUUUCUUUGAUCUUGAAGGAUGCAGGUGUUCUCCUCUUCUAUUUUCUUUUCUUUUUUUUCCUCUUUCUUUUUCUUCUCUUUUCUUUUUAUUUCCCUCCAUGAGGCAGGGCAGGGCAGUGGUGGAAGGAUGAUGAAAGGGAGCUGAAAUUCGCUGUUGCAGUUGCCCAUUCCAAUAAGACGUGGUACAUACAUGCCUCGAGGCAGAGGGUGAACAGAUGGUGUGUAGCUUGUACCAUCAGCCUUUUGAAGCAGCUGCCCUCACACAGAUUCUCAGACCCUCUCACAAAGGAAGAGGGGAUUUGCAUUAUGGCUACAGGAAAUAAGAGAAAGGGGGUUGCUCUCAUAGGUAGAAUUUUGAUACAUAAACAAGAAAAUAAGAAGAAUGUUCUGUUCUUACUGCUCUCUCUUGUGCUUACUCGUUUUUCAGAAACACUCUUGUUUAUGUGGAAAGACUCAACAAUUCAAUAAAUUCAGCAAACAUUUACAGAGUAUCUUCUCUUGAUUUUCAUUUUAUCAUGUGUAUCUCACCUCUUCCAAUAGGAAUUCCAGGCAGCUUAUAAUCAAGGACAUAAAAGAUGAGACUAAUAAAAUAGAAAAUCAGGACCAAAGAAAAAGCCGAAAGCAAAUAUUCUAACCACGAGGGUUAGCAUAGAGGUAACUGAGGAUUAAAACUUAACUUUGAGGAUCCUCAACAC